UACGUAGGGUGCGAGCGUUGUCCGGAAUUAUUGGGCGUAAAGAGCUUGUAGGCGGUGUGUCACGUCGGCCGUGAAAACCUGCAGCUUAACUGUGGGCGUGCGGUCGAUACGGGCAUCACUGGAGUUCGGCAGGGGAGACUGGAAUUCCUGGUGUAGCGGUGAAAUGCGCAGAUAUCAGGAGGAACACCGGUGGCGAAGGCGGGUCUCUGGGCCGAUACUGACGCUGAGGAGCGAAAGCGUGGGGAGCAAACAGG
RNAcentral lists this ribosomal RNA (254 nucleotides) under uncultured bacterium. RNAcentral's name for it is "partial 16S ribosomal RNA". It matches the Rfam family "Bacterial small subunit ribosomal RNA", at positions 524 to 776 of the family's 1533-position model. The record is from RNAcentral.